AAGCAAGAAGCAAUUCAUGCAUUUAGUUUCGACCUAAAAGAAAGAUAAAUAAAUUUAUCCCUGCUUU
RNAcentral lists this transfer RNA (67 nucleotides) under Scolytinae sp. BMNH 1040351. RNAcentral describes it as "tRNA-Arg". Lineage: Eukaryota; Metazoa; Arthropoda; Insecta; Coleoptera; Curculionidae. The record is from RNAcentral.